This 725-nucleotide unclassified non-coding RNA is filed under the name Hevea brasiliensis (rubber tree). Lineage: Eukaryota; Viridiplantae; Streptophyta; Magnoliopsida; Malpighiales; Euphorbiaceae. The record is from RNAcentral.
AAAAAAAAAGAAUGUAAAAAAAAAUAACAGAAGCAGGAAGGAUAUGGUUUUAGAGUCAUUGCACUAGAUCUGCGCAUUGCACUAGCUCUGCACACAUUGUUCACAGUGAAGGAUCUUAUAUUAUGGUUUUUCUUUUAUUUGGCAUGUUGCUUAAUGGAAGUCUGAUGAAGAAUGUGCUCCUUUGCCUGUGAUGUACAUAACUGGCAUGUGAAUCUGCACGGAAGUGGGGUCAGAUUUAUUUGGCGUUGGCCAUGAGAUCAGUGAUGUGGAAAGUGGCUCGUCUGGUGUACAUGUUGUAAAUGAGUUGAUAUGCUGCUUCAUUGAAUCAAACAGUGAGUAUUCUUGCUGUGAAUCUUAACGUAUAAGGUCUUCAUUGCUUGAGGAGUUGGGUGAAUUAGUUUUCCUGCUGUGAAGCGGAUAGUGUGAUGCAGGCGCCUCUCAAGCCAUUAAUGUUGUGGUGGAUAGUUCUGGAUGGAGCCACUGAUUUCGUCAGAGCUCUCCGCUUGUAGCUGUGGGAGCUGCAGAUCUAUAUACUUCGGUGCCCGUUGAUUCCGUUGUUUCAUUUAUGUUCUCAUUGCUGGAUUUUGGCUUACUGCUUUAAUUGCAGAAGCAACAAUCUGUUUUUACUGGCUAGGGUGAUUUGUAUUAUCCAUUAGUAGUACGGGGCUUGUAUUUUGUGUCUUCUAUCAGAGGAAGUUUUAUGGGCCUCACUUGGGCACCAGAUU